AAUACAGGGAUGUCUGACCAGGACUCCUUGACCUACACAGGCCUCUGCUCUGGGGGAGAUGGCCAGUCCUGGUAUCUGAGUGAUU
Budorcas taxicolor (takin) is the source of this 85-nucleotide small nucleolar RNA. RefSeq annotates it as small nucleolar RNA SNORD86. Lineage: Eukaryota; Metazoa; Chordata; Mammalia; Artiodactyla; Bovidae. The transcript has a single exon. The record is from RefSeq and is a predicted model, not a curated record.